AGUGAACGCUGGCGGUAGGCCUAACACAUGCAAGUCGAACGGCCGCACAGUAAGAGCUUGCUCUUACGGGUGGCGAGUGGCGGACGGGUGAGGAAUACAUCGGCAUCUACUUUUUCGUGGGGGAUAACGGAGGGAAACUUACGCUAAUACCGCAUACGACCUACGGGUGAAAUCAAGGGAUCUUGGGACCUUGCGCGAUUCAAUGAGCCGAUGUCGGAUUAGCUAGUUGGCGGGGUAAAGGCCCACCAAGCCGACGAUCCGUAGCUGGUCUGAGAGGAUGAUCAGCCACACUGGAACUGAGACACGGUCCAGACUCCUACGGGAGGCAGCAGUGGGGAAUAUUGGACAAUGGGCGCAAGCCUGAUCCAGCCAUGCCGCGUGGGUGAAGAAGGCCUUCGGGUUGUAAAGCCCUUUUGUUGGGAAAGAAAAGCAGCAGGUUAAUACCCCGCUGUUUUGACGGUACCCAAAGAAUAAGCACCGGCUAACUUCGUG
RNAcentral lists this ribosomal RNA (492 nucleotides) under uncultured bacterium. Its description in RNAcentral is "partial 16S ribosomal RNA". It matches the Rfam family "Bacterial small subunit ribosomal RNA", at positions 29 to 507 of the family's 1533-position model. The record is from RNAcentral.